RNAcentral lists this ribosomal RNA (1140 nucleotides) under Escherichia coli. Its description in RNAcentral is "partial 23S ribosomal RNA". It matches the Rfam family "Bacterial large subunit ribosomal RNA", at positions 604 to 1746 of the family's 2925-position model. Lineage: Bacteria; Pseudomonadati; Pseudomonadota; Gammaproteobacteria; Enterobacterales; Enterobacteriaceae. The record is from RNAcentral.
CCUUUUGUAUAAUGGGUCAGCGACUUAUAUUCUGUAGCAAGGUUAACCGAAUAGGGGAGCCGAAGGGAAACCGAGUCUUAACUGGGCGUUAAGUUGCAGGGUAUAGACCCGAAACCCGGUGAUCUAGCCAUGGGCAGGUUGAAGGUUGGGUAACACUAACUGGAGGACCGAACCGACUAAUGUUGAAAAAUUAGCGGAUGACUUGUGGCUGGGGGUGAAAGGCCAAUCAAACCGGGAGAUAGCUGGUUCUCCCCGAAAGCUAUUUAGGUAGCGCCUCGUGAACUCAUCUCCGGGGGUAGAGCACUGUUUCGGCAAGGGGGUCAUCCCGACUUACCAACCCGAUGCAAACUGCGAAUACCGGAGAAUGUUAUCACGGGAGACACACGGCGGGUGCUAACGUCCGUCGUGAAGAGGGAAACAACCCAGACCGCCAGCUAAGGUCCCAAAGUCAUGGUUAAGUGGGAAACGAUGUGGGAAGGCCCAGACAGCCAGGAUGUUGGCUUAGAAGCAGCCAUCAUUUAAAGAAAGCGUAAUAGCUCACUGGUCGAGUCGGCCUGCGCGGAAGAUGUAACGGGGCUAAACCAUGCACCGAAGCUGCGGCAGCGACGCUUAUGCGUUGUUGGGUAGGGGAGCGUUCUGUAAGCCUGUGAAGGUGUGCUGUGAGGCAUGCUGGAGGUAUCAGAAGUGCGAAUGCUGACAUAAGUAACGAUAAAGCGGGUGAAAAGCCCGCUCGCCGGAAGACCAAGGGUUCCUGUCCAACGUUAAUCGGGGCAGGGUGAGUCGACCCCUAAGGCGAGGCCGAAAGGCGUAGUCGAUGGGAAACAGGUUAAUAUUCCUGUACUUGGUGUUACUGCGAAGGGGGGACGGAGAAGGCUAUGUUGGCCGGGCGACGGUUGUCCCGGUUUAAGCGUGUAGGCUGGUUUUCCAGGCAAAUCCGGAAAAUCAAGGCUGAGGCGUGAUGACGAGGCACUACGGUGCUGAAGCAACAAAUGCCCUGCUUCCAGGAAAAGCCUCUAAGCAUCAGGUAACAUCAAAUCGUACCCCAAACCGACACAGGUGGUCAGGUAGAGAAUACCAAGGCGCUUGAGAGAACUCGGGUGAAGGAACUAGGCAAAAUGGUGCCGUAACUUCGGGAGAAGG